AUGAGGGAGAGCUUCAGUCUACUCAUGGCAUGGUCUGCUUCUGUAAUUCCUUCUGACUGAAGAUGCUGGCCAGAUCCUGGGAGGCCGGGGUCAGUAAAGCCUAUUCAGGAAGACUGCCCCUGUCGGAACUCCUGUGAUGGACAAGGGAACUUUUUAAGAGUAAAGAGCUUCGAGUGGAGACCAGUUCAGCACGCCUAGGGUGGACAAGGCCCUGGGCUCUAACCCGGUACCUUAGAAAAGUAAAUGGGACUGACCAGAAUCCUUUACCAACACUGAUUUACAUCCAUAGUGAUUUCUGUAGAACACUUCGGACAUCGUUUCUAUUCUUUUGCGUAGCCGUGAAAGACAGUUGUGAAACCAAGGAAGAAAGAUGAGUGUUAAACUUCAAUAUGGAAGCCAGUACAGUGCCAUCAAAGGAAUGGAAGACAUUCUGAGAAGGUCUGCUCUGCCAUAUGAAAACAUGUAGGCCAUUGUGUUCCUCGAAGGCCAGCUACUGAUCUGCCUUCCAAACUGAAUGGCAGAGAAACGUGCAACUUGGAGAAUGCUGCCCAGCGAAGCUCUUAAAGCUCGCUCUCAGAAUCCUGCACCCCUGGAGCUCGUGUUGCAUUGGAUCCGCAACUGUGACCUGAAAACUCUUCAGGCUUUAACAGAACAAGUAUGGGAAUUUGAUAUUCACGCUAGUUCGUUUCCUGCUUUGCCUGUCCCAGGUUCCUGUGGUGUAUGCUUCCUGCGGAUCACAUGUUCACCGUUCACAGAAACCUUGGUAGGGUGCUCUGAACUCUAGGAACAAUGUGGAUGCAUCAAAGAAAAUCCUGCAAACUAUACUUUCAAAAAUGAAGAUAUUUCCAUAUUUUUAAAAUAAGAACACUGGGACAAGUAACUUGUGAUUUCGUGUCUUCCAAUACUUUGUUGGUAUGUCGUGAUUCUGUAGUACUGUUUUAUGUUGACACCUAGAAAUAAUGCAUCAGUUUUACUCACAUUUUAUUGUCUUCCAUGACAAGAAUGUGCCUUCUAAAUGAGUGAUUUAGAAAUUGAAUUGUCAAUGAAACAGUGAUUUUAGGUAGAGGCUUUGGGGGUAGUGCUUUGGGGAGUGUCUGGGGAAUCAGACCCCAGUAAUAAUCAGGGCAUUUACUUUCUUUUUCUGCCUAUUUAUUCAUAAUGUUAGAACAUACCAAGAAUGUUCUCACUAUAUGUAGUUGACUGUUACUCAUGAUCUGUGAAAAAAGUAAAUCUCUGUUCUCUAUAAAAUCAUCCAGGGUCAAGCAUUCUGUUAUAGUAGCAGAAAAUAUUGUUCCAACCAAGUUUAAUGUCAGGAUUGUCACAUUUGAAUGGAGACACCCAAACAACAUUAUUAAAGUUAAAUGGUGGCUCAAGGAUCAAAUGUCAGAGGGCAUAGGCAAGAAGUAAACCCAUUCUCAGAGCAGACAAAAGAAAGAAUACAAAGGGAGAGAG
Non-coding RNA from Rattus norvegicus (Norway rat), 1452 nucleotides. Lineage: Eukaryota; Metazoa; Chordata; Mammalia; Rodentia; Muridae. The record is from RefSeq and is a predicted model, not a curated record.